Molecule: small nucleolar RNA, 107 nt
Organism: Cornus florida
Lineage: Eukaryota; Viridiplantae; Streptophyta; Magnoliopsida; Cornales; Cornaceae
Source: RefSeq, a predicted model, not a curated record
AUAUCAUGGUGUGGGCACUUCCUAAGCAAGUCAUUGAGACGCUCCCAUGCCUCAUGAAACAUUUCCCCAUCCCCUUGUGAAAAUUCUCUAAUUGAAGUUCUGAUAGC